GCGACAGAAGACGAAGGUGGUGUUUUAUUACGAACAACCUCGUUGCAAAGCACAAGAAGGUCCAGGAAACAACAACUGCCCAUAAUAAAUAGAACCCAGGUGAAACUGGGCUGUACGGUAGAACAAACAGUAAAUAAAUUAGAUGGAACCCCCCAUUUGAUCAAUAAAUUUAAAAAGAAAAAACAGACAAACAAUCUGCUAAUUAAAAGCCCACUUCCAAAUCCGGGUCUACUU
RNAcentral lists this long non-coding RNA (234 nucleotides) under Populus tremula. Its description in RNAcentral is "long non-coding RNA (PTRE_LNC003128)". The record is from RNAcentral. Lineage: Eukaryota; Viridiplantae; Streptophyta; Magnoliopsida; Malpighiales; Salicaceae.